CUGAACUCGCCACCGUUCUGCAGUCCCGCCGUCGGCUCACUGCUCGUCUCGCUACAUUGCCAUCGUUCACUAUCCUCGUCCUCGCCGUCUACCUCGCCGCUCCUCACGCCCAACAAGUUGUCACGCUUGGCAUGUUUCCUCCAUGCGGCCUCACGCGUUCCUCUCGCUUCAUCUGCUAGUCGUGGGGUAGUGCAGAUCACGUUGUCUGUGAAUCAAUCGAUUGGUGGAGUAAUUUUCUAG
Molecule: unclassified non-coding RNA, 240 nt
Filed under: Zea mays
Lineage: Eukaryota; Viridiplantae; Streptophyta; Magnoliopsida; Poales; Poaceae
Description: misc RNA Zm00001eb099840
Source: RNAcentral